UUAAGAAGGGCCAGUCAGGACAGGUGAUGCUGGCAGGAAGGGAGCCAGCCUGCGACGUGCUGGGAAGACAGGCAGAGAGACUAUACGUUCAAAGGGUGUGAGGCAGGCAUGAGUUUGCAGAAAGUGUGCCAAGGGCCUGGAGCAGAUGCAUCAGUGCUAUUCUGGAGGCCCAAAUCACACAUGAUUCCGUGAAAGAAACUCUGUGCUGGCCAGAGGAUGCACUCACUCUCCAGGCUUUCCUGCAUGGGCCCUCACCAUGGAGUCCUGGAUACUUAGGGCAUCUGGUUGACCACAUGCUCGGGAGAGCACCAAAGAAGGUCCUGGUUUUCAAGCCUCCAGCUUCUCCUUAGAAAGAGUUGACUACCUGUCUGGGCUCCAACUUUUCUGGCUGCUACCAGAGGGUCUGGCCUCUAAACCAUCUGUGUCAAAGAACUGACAGGGCCUGACAUUCAUUGGGACCCUAGGGGUGACAGAGAGCAAAGCAAAAGUUUGAAAGAGUAUGCAGUCUGAAUGAGCAUGCAGGCCUUUGCCACAGCUCCCCUUCCCAGCUCAGUGCAGAGCAAGUAGGAGAUAAACUUCUGCUCUUAGCUUCUCUGUGAGGAGAGAUGAAAUGGACCACACAUCUAGCACCCCAACUUUUCUGACAACUACUAGAAGGACUGACUCCUGACUCACCUGUCUCAGGGCACUGAUGGUACUUGGCACACUCUAGUCUCCUGGGGCCACCAAGGACAAGAACAGCAUUUUGGACAAACACACUGGUUUGAGAGGCACCCAGACUCUCUGACUGGGCUGUGAGGAGGCUCAUCUGUGAAGACUGAGGGAGGUGGCUGUUUUAUCAAAUGUGCAGAAACCAACACAGAAAGUCAAAGACAAUGAACAAACAGGAAAUAUGCCAUAAAUAAAAGAACAAGAUAAAUCUUCAGAAACUGACCCAAACAGAAUGGAGAUAUGUGAUUUACCAGACAAAAAAUCAAAUGACCUGUCACAAAGAUGCUCAGAGAGGUCAGGAGAGCAAUGCAUGAAUAAAGUGAGAAUUUCAACCAAAAAGGUAGAAAAUAUUAAAAAGUGCCAAACAGAAAUCACGGAGCUGAAGAAUAUAAUAAAAGAACAGAAAAAUUUAAUAGAGGGGUUCAAUAGCAGACUAGGUGAACUGAAAGAAAGGAUUAGUGAACUCAAGGACUGGUCAUUGGCAAUCAUUCAGUCACAGCAUUAAAAAGAAAAAAGAAUGAAGGGCCAGGCACGGUGGCUCACACCUGUAAUCCCAACACUUUGGGAGGCUGAGGUGGGUGGAUCACGAGGUCAGGAGAUCGAGACCAUCCUGGCUAACAUGGUGAAACCCAUCUCUACUAAAAAUACAAAAAAAUUAGCUGGGUGUGGUGGCACGCACCUGUAAUCCCAGCUACUCGGGAGGCUGAGGCAGGAGGAUUACUUGAACCUGGGAGGCUGAGGUUGCAGUGAGCUGAGAUUGCGCCACUGCACUCAAGCCUGGGCAACAGAGCGAGACUCUGUCUCAAAAGAAAAAGAAAGAGAGAGAGAAGAAAAGAAAAAAGAAUGAAAAACAGUGAAGAUACCUUUAAAAACUUAUGAACACCACCCAGCAGAUCUAUAUAUGCAUUACGAGACACUCAGACAUUAUGAUAUCAGUAACACAGAAUGUGGAAUAAGGAGAGGUAAAAUUGCAGAGUACUUCUAUAGAAGUGUUAUCAGUUUAACCUGUUAUAAAUAUAUGUUAUGUAAGCCCCUGGUAACCACAAAGAAACUACCUAUAGAAAUGACACAAAAGAAAAAAAGUUACAAAGCCUAUCAAUGCAAAACAGCACAACAAAAACAGGCAAACAAAACCCAACAAUAAAACACAAAGGAAGACAGCAAGAGAGAAAAAGAGGGACAAAAGAACUACAAGACAAACAGAAAACAGUUUAAAAAAAAUGGCAAUAUGGUGGUUCAUGCCUGUAAUCCCAACACUUAGGAAGGCCGAGACGAGCAGAUCACUUGAGGUCAGGAGUUUGAGACCAACCUGGCCAACAUGGUGAAACCUGGUCUCUACUAGAAAUACACAAAAUUUAGCCAGGUGUAGUGGCAGGAGCCUGUAAUCCAGCUACUCGGGAGGCUGAACCACAAGAAUUGCUUGAACCUGGGAGGCAGAGGUUGCAGUGAACUGAGAUUGUACCACUGCACUCCAGCCUGGACAACAGAGCAAGACUCUGUCUCAAAAAAAAAAAGGCAAUACUAAAUCUUGCCCUAUCAAUAAUUAUUGAGUGUGGCGGCUUAUGUCUGUAAUCCCAGCACUCUGGGAGGCCAAGGCAGGUAGAUCACUUGAGACCAGGAGUUCAAGACCAGCCUGGCCAACAUGAUGAAGCCCCAUCUCUACUAAAAAAUACAGAAAUUAGCAGGGUGUGGUGGCAUGUGCCUGUAAUCCCAGCUACUUGGGAGGCUGAGGCAGAGAAUAGCUUGAACCUGGGAAGUGGAGGCAGCAGUGAGCCAAGAUCACACCGCUGCACUCCAGGCUGGGCAACAGAGCAAGACUGCAUCUCAAAUAAUAAUAAUAAUAGUAAUAAUUACUUAAAAUGUAAAUGGAUUGGCCAGGUUCAUGCCUGUAAUCUCAGCACUUUGGGAGGCUGAGUCAGGAGGAUCACGAGGUCAGGAGUUCAAGACCAGCCUGGCCAACAUGGUGAAACCCCAUCUCUACUAAAAAUACAAAAAUUAGCUGGGCAUGGUGGUGGGCACCUGUAGUCCCAGCUACUAGGGAGGCUGAGGCAGGACAAUUGCUUAACCGGGAUCUGGGAGGUGGAGAUUGUAGUGAGCCGAGAUCACACCACUGCACUCCAGCCUGGGCGACAGAGCGAGUCUCCAUCUCAAAAAAAAAAAAAAAAAAGAAGAAGAAAGAAAGAUCUCAAGUAAAUUGAGCUAAUGUCGUACCUUAAGGAACUAGAAAAAGAACAAACUAAGCCCAAAGUUAGCAGAAGAAAAGAAAUUACAAAGAUCAGAGCAGAAAUAAGUAGGGAAUAGAAAAGCAAUAGAAAAACCCUGCAAAAUCAGAGGUUGUUUGUUUGUUUGUUUGUUUGAGAUGAAGUCUCAUUCUUGUCCCACAGGCUGGAGUGCAAUGGCACAAUCUCGGCUCACUGCAACCACUGCCUACCGGGUUCAAGCAAUUCUCCUGCCUCAGCCCCCCGAGUAGCUAGGAUUACAGGCACCUGCCACCACGCCCAGCUAAUUUUUGUAUUUUUAAGUAGAGACGGGGUUUCACCAUGUUGGCCAGGCUGGUCUCGAACUGCUGACCUCAGGUGAUCUGCCCGCCUUGGCCUCCCAAAGUGCUGGGAUUAUAGGCAUGAGCCACCGUGCCUGGCCCAGAGUUGUUUUCUUUAAAAAAGGUAAAUAAAAUCAACAUGCCCUUAGACAAACAAAAAAAAAAAAAAAAGGAAGAAUGGAUUCAAAUAAAUGAAAUAAAAAAUGAGAGAAGACAUUACAAUGGAUAUCUGAGAAAUAAAAAGGAUCAUAAAAGACCAUUAUGAACAAUUAUAUGCCAACAUAUUGGAUAAAGUAGAAGAAAUGGAUACAUUCCUAGAAGCAUGCAACCUACCAAGACUUAAUCAAGAAGCAACAGAAAACCUUAACAGAUGAGUUACAAAUAAGGAGAUUGAGGCAUUAAUCAAAAACCUCCCAAAAAAGAAAAAUCGAUGGCUUUCAUGGAUUCAAAGAAUUAUUAAUACUUCUUAAACUCUUCUAAAAAUAGAAAAAGAGGAAACACUUCCAAACUCAUUUUAUGAGGUCAGCAUUACCCUGAUACCAGAACCAAAGAAACCACAAGAAAAGAAAACCACAUGCCAAUAUCUCUGAUGAAUAUAGAUGCAAAAAUCCUCAAUAAAAUAUUAGCAAAGUGAAUUCAUUAGCACACUAAAAAGUUUAUACAUUGUGACUAAAGUGGGAUUUAUCCCUGGGAUGCAGGUUUGGUUCAAUAUAUGCAAAUAAGUCAAUGUAAUACACCACAUUAACAGAAGGAAAGAUUAAAAAAAAAUGACCAUCUCAAUAGAUGCAGAAAAUAUUUGAAAAAAAUCAAUAUCCAUUUAUAACAAAAACUCUAAACAAAAUAUGUAUGGAAGGAACUUACCUUAAUCCAAUAAAGACCAAUUAGGAAAAGUCUAUAACUAACAUCAUAAUAAUUGAAGAAAAAUUAAAAGCUUUUCCUUUCUUGGUCUCACCAUGUCUAUUCAACACAGUGCUAGAAGUUCUAGCCAGAUAAAUUAGAUAGGAAAAAGAAAUAAAAAAUAUCCAACUUAAAAAGAAACAAGGAAAAUUGUCUGUUUCUGGGUGACAUGGUCCUACAUGUAGAAAAUCCUAAUAAUUCCAUUAAAAAAUCAGAACUGAUAAAUUUAGUAAAUUUUUAAGAUACAAAAUCAAUAUACAAAAAUUAAUAGCAUUUCCUUAUACCAACAUUGAAAUAUCUAAAAAGGAAAUCAAGGAACAAUCUCAUUUACAAUAGCAUAAAAAUAUUUAGAAAUAAAUUUAACCAAGGAGGUGAAAAAGAAUUUGUACACUGAAAAUUAUAAAACACUAAUGAAAAAAAUUGAAGAAGACACAAAGAAAUGGAACGAUAUCUCAUCUUAAUUAAUUGGAAGAAUUAAUAUUGUGUAAACACUUAUACUGCCCAAAGUGACCUACAUGUUGAAUGCAAUCCCUAUCAAAAUUCUAAGGGCAUUUUUCUCAGAAAUAGGAAAACAAUUCUGAAAUUUAUAUGGUACCACAAAAGAUCCUGAAUAGCUAAGGCAAUCUGGAGAAAGAAGAAGAAAGUUAGAGUCAUCGCACUCCCUGAUUUCAAAUGAUACUGCAAAGCCAUACUAAUCAAAACUCGAUGGUAUUGACAUAAAAACAGACACAGAAACCAAUGGAACAAAAUAGCCCCAAAAUAAGCUCACGAAAAUAUGGCUAACUAAUUUUCAACAAGGACCCCAAGAAUACACAAUGGGGAAAGAUAGUCUAAAUAAAUGGUUUUGGAAAAACUGGAUAUCCACAUGCAAAAGAAUAAAAGUAGGCCUUUAUCUCACACCAUAUACAAAAGUCAGCUCAAAAUGGAUUAAAGACUUAAAUAUAAGACCUUAAACCAUAAAACUCCUACAAGGAAACAUAGAGAAAAAUCUCCUUGAAGAAGAUUCAAGGAUGAAUGUUUUUUGAUAAAGAUUUUUAUGAUGAUCUGCUUCCACUUAAUGAAUAAAGUCCACUUAAUGUCUUGGCAAUGAUUUUUUUGGAUAUAACACCAAAUGCACAAGCAACAAAUGCAAAAAUAAACAAGUGGGACUAGAUUAAACUAGAAGCUUCUGCACAGGAAAGGAAUGAAUCAAUGAAAUGAAAAAGCAACCAACAGAAUGGGAGAAAAUACAACCCAUAUAUCUGAUAAGGGUGUUAGUAUACAAAAUAUAUUAGGGACACAUAUAACUCUAUAGCAAAAGAUGAAUAACCUGAUUAAAAAUGGGCAAAGGACUUGAAUAGAUAGUUUUUGAAAGAGGACAUACAUACAAAUGUCCAAUAGGUAUAUGAAAAGGUACCCAACAUCACUAUCAUCAGGGAAAUGCAAAUCAAAACUAGAAUGAGAUUUCAUCUCACAUCUGUUAGGGUGGCUAUUGUCAAAAACAUGAGAUAACAAGUGUUGGUGAGGAUGUGGAGAAAAGAGAACUCUUAUACACUGUUCAUGGGAAUGCAAAUUGAUGUACCUAUUAUGGAAAACAGUAUAGAGAUCCCUUAAAAAAUAAAAAAUAAAACUAUCAUAUGAUUCA
Molecule: long non-coding RNA, 5771 nt
Organism: Pan troglodytes (chimpanzee)
Lineage: Eukaryota; Metazoa; Chordata; Mammalia; Primates; Hominidae
Exons: 2
Source: RefSeq, a predicted model, not a curated record